CCCUUAGAUGUUCUGGGCCGCACGCGCGCUACACUGACGGAGGCAGCGAGCGUGUCCUUCGCCGGCAGGUGCGGGCAAUCUUGCGAGUCUCCGUCGUGCUGGGGAUAGAUGGUUGCAAUUGUCGAUCUUGAACGAGGAAUUCCUAGUAAGCGCGAGUCAUCAGCUCGCGCUGAUUACGUCCCUGCCCUUUGUACACACCGCCCGUCGCUACUACAGAGUGCCCGUGUCCAAGAAACGGUCGGACCUGUGCGGCCUCUCCGGGCGACCGGAGGGCCGUUACGGGGAAGACCCUUUAUUUGACGCGGGUCGAUGAAGUAAAAGUCGUAACG
This 329-nucleotide ribosomal RNA is filed under the name uncultured eukaryote. Its description in RNAcentral is "partial 18S ribosomal RNA". It matches the Rfam family "Eukaryotic small subunit ribosomal RNA", at positions 1470 to 1796 of the family's 1831-position model. The record is from RNAcentral.